GACGAACGCUGGCGGCGUGCUUAACACAUGCAAGUCGAACGGAAAGGCCCUGCUUUUGUGGGUGCUCGAGUGGCGAACGGGUGAGUAACACGUGAGUAACCUGCCCUUGACUUUGGGAUAACUUCAGGAAACCGGGGCUAAUACCGGAUAGGAGCUCCUGCUGCCUGGUGGGGGUUGGAAAGUUUCGGCGGUUGGGGAUGGGCUCGCGGCUUAUCAGCUUGUUGGUGGGGGAGUGGCUUACCAAGGCUUUGACGGGGAGCCGGCCCGAGAGGGUGACCGGCCACAUUGGGACUGAGGUACGGCCCAGACUCCUACGGGAGGCAGCAGUGGGGAAUAUUGCACAAUGGGCGGAAGCCUGAUGCAGCAACGCCGCGUGCGGGAUGACGGCCUUCGGGUUGUAAACCGCUUUCGCCUGUGACGAAGCGUGAGUGACGGUAAUGGGUAAAGAAGCACCGGCUAACUACGUG
Molecule: ribosomal RNA, 467 nt
Filed under: uncultured bacterium
Lineage: Bacteria
Description: partial 16S ribosomal RNA
Rfam family: Bacterial small subunit ribosomal RNA
Source: RNAcentral